CUCAUCAAAAUAGCAUGAAUAAAUCAACACAUUGAGAUUAAAGUAUAUAAAUUGACAAAAUAUGCCACCUUUAUAAACAAUAUCCAAGUGCCUUGUUGUAAUUGAUCCCAGAUAACCCAGCCUACAUGGAUAAUAUAUAUUUGUAAGUGAUCACAGAGCUUUGGCAGCCAAGAUAUAUUUUAGUGCCCUGCAAUCAGCUCCUUUCUCCCUCUCUGCAAAAAGAGUACAUGAGAAAUUUUGGAAUACAUGUUCGCUAAACAAAAUGCAUUAUAAAAUAAGACAAUCUACAGUAAUAAUAUGAGACUACACAUCUAUACAACCCUACAGUUUCAGAUUUCCUAGUUCGAAGCCAUUUUUUCACUUAUUAUGAAGUUGACCCAUACAUAUUGCACAUAUGUCAUUCUUUCUUCAAUCAAUCUCAUAAAAAAAUACAAAUACAAAGUAGAGAUUGACGAUCAACUUAUUACUCUAAUCUGCUGAGAAAAAUAAAAAAUGAGGCAUCACUCAGAAGAAAACUGAUGUGUUAUUUAUUUCGUAUAGACCACCAGUUUAUGUUUAGGUUGAAGAUUUCCAACUGAAGAAAGUAGACAAUGAAAUUGAUGAGCAAUUAAAUAGUACAACCAAACCUUCUCUUCAACACUACUCUAUUUCUAGUCGAUAGGUUUUGACAUGGAUGAACUUGAUUGGACGAUGGUAAGAGUAGUAGCAGGAAACUAUACACCAUAUCAAGAUCAAUCAUACAGUCCAAAAUGGUCAUCAUCAGAGUGCAAAAAAUCAGGAACCUUAAAACAAUGGAGCUCAAAUUUGAGAAGGAUCAGUAGUUGUCGCCUAGCCGCUACCGCUGAAAGAGGUGCAGGACCAGCCAACCCCGCAUAUGGGCGUGACGGUCAACGGCCUGACCGCUCAAACCCACCAUUACUUCAACAGAACCAUCUAAGUUCUCAAGCUCAUCGUCUCCAACAGUCGAAUGCCAACAUGUCUGACUGCCUAUUUGGGAUUGGAGUUACAGGGAGUGCCUAAUUUUUAUGUAUCUAUAUUAAUUUACUUUUCUUCAGGUUCUAUCUCUCAACUAAGUAAUCUAAUGCAGAAUGUUGAUUAAUCUAAUGCAGUCGAAUGCCAACAUGUCUGAAUGCUCAUAGGAUAUUCAUGUCUAAUCCAUCUUCCAUGUUUUCAUGUUAUAUUCAGAUGAAUCAGAUCUUUACAUAAUGCUACUUUUUGGGAUACUGCAUCCGACGAUUCUUUUGAAGAUGCACGGCACACGGAAUACCUUUUGCCUUGAUAUGCUGCUGAAGAACUGUUGAUGGUGCUCUAAUCAGCAACACCUCACUACCGCCCCGUGGAAACAAUGCCUCUACUCCUCUACCUAGAACAACUCUUCCUAAUUAAAAUUCUCUUACAGAAGUAUUAACUGGAGGGACGGGGAUCAAUAUAACCCAUCUUUAUCCAGACCCAAAAGAAUAUGAAUCUUGAUUUGGGACGAAGGCAGGGUUCUUGGAACCAGGAAAUCAAGAGGCAGACUAACUACAUGUGUUGAAUUAGCUGAUGAGACAAAGGGAGUAGUACCUGUUGGGCGGAAGCGUGACGGCCAUCUGGACGAUUGCUCUCCUGGGGAAGCCGGUUCCACCAGCGGCGCUGCCAAGUCAUGGUGGGAUAUGCCACUCAAGUUGAAGGUCGUGGUAGGGGGACACGCUCGUUGCCAUGGCGCUGGUCCGGGUCGCUAGCAAGUGCAACAAAAAAAAAGUUAAAACCCUUAAAUUUUGUGCACUGAAAUUAAUAUACAUACAUACAACAGGGAGUUAAAGUCCAAACCUGAUCGAAAAAGACGUAACCAAAAACUAUGUAGUUGAACAAUUUCAGAAAUAUCUAGCAGUUGAUUCUUUCAGCCAUAUGAAAAUACCUGUUAACGGGAAAGUAGUAUUAGACGAUAUCCACUAUAGAUAAAAAAAAGACAAGCUUAGUUGAAGCAUCUGUGUAAUAUUGAAAGAGCCUUUUCAUCGAGAUAAACCUGCAAGUAUACAUCAGACCAAACAGAAUUGUGAAGAUUCUGAAAAAAGAAAUAAGACCUAUGAAGCAAGUUUUUGGAGAAGAGAUUAAACAUUCAUUAGCAGUAGUAUUCCUAGAACUGUACUGCCUGCGAGUAUAUAUCGGCCUAUUUAUCCAUCUCUUGUUGAAAAAAAAAGCUAUUUUACUGAAUUCAAAAAUCGCUGAACACUGUCAGAUCACGAACAAAGUAGAGAUGUAUUCCGGCAAACGCACUUCACUUUCAUCCUACCGCUGAAAAAAACAAUUCCAAGUGAAACUCACAUCGGUAGUAGGAGGCGUGCCGAUCUUAGGCACCCGGUGCUGGACGACGGGGUUGAUGUCGGCGGAUCUCGGGACCGGUGGAAGCAGCCUGGGUGGAAGGAGAGGCGCGGCCUGGCCGCCGAGGCCGACGGCGGCAAGUUGGGCUCGGACCUGAAGGGGCCGACGGUGGAGCGCGAGCGCGGUGUGGAUGGCGUGCCGCCGCCGGUGCCUGCGGUUGUGGUGCUCCUCCUGGAGCCGCCAGGGCCCGGG
Molecule: long non-coding RNA, 2553 nt
Filed under: Triticum aestivum (bread wheat)
Lineage: Eukaryota; Viridiplantae; Streptophyta; Magnoliopsida; Poales; Poaceae
Description: long non-coding RNA (TAES_LNC023408)
Source: RNAcentral